AUUCAAAUCAUGUUGUUGUUUUGCCUCGGAGUAUCAAGAUCGUUAGGAUACACGUAAUGUAAGAAUAAGUAAGCUUCGAGCAAAACAAUGUCGCCACUAUGUGCAACAGUCGAACAGAGACGAAUUUGAAUUUUCCCACUCUCCCCCGACCGGUAUAAAUAAGCGGACGAGAUCGCAAGGAAACGAGUUACGGUCAGUUGUCGAUCAGUUAUCAACCAGUUAUCAACGAAUUAUCAGCGAUUUAAUUAACGAGUCAUUAGCGAUCCUAUUUUACGACUUGUACACUGUCUUAGCGAAUCGCGGUUUCAACAACGAGCAAUCUCGUCCAUUAAACCUCACCGGCCAACCAUCCUCUACGCAUAAACCUCUACAGCUGUAUAAACUGUUCGUCCCUCUGACAAGUUCAAAGACAAAUGGAGUUGCACCG
Molecule: unclassified non-coding RNA, 427 nt
Filed under: Bombus terrestris (buff-tailed bumblebee)
Lineage: Eukaryota; Metazoa; Arthropoda; Insecta; Hymenoptera; Apidae
Description: misc RNA ENSBTSG00005035607.1
Source: RNAcentral